Long non-coding RNA from Cucumis melo (muskmelon), 602 nucleotides. RefSeq lists it as uncharacterized. The transcript has 2 exons. Lineage: Eukaryota; Viridiplantae; Streptophyta; Magnoliopsida; Cucurbitales; Cucurbitaceae. The record is from RefSeq and is a predicted model, not a curated record.
CUCAAAAAAUCUAUUCAUCAUCUUCUCCAAAAAAUUCUCCUUCCUUUGCAAACCCUAGACCGCCGCUACACCUUCCGCCAAUGAUUCACCUCUCCACCAUGCUCUACUAAUGAACAACAAGCCGAAGACUCCACUCGCGUGCUAUUACCUAUCUUCUCGUCUGCAGACACGAACUCGUGGUCUCCGUUUACUUACACACGAAGUCGUACGCCUAGCCACGCCGAUCUCCUUCAUCCACGUCCGUUCGCCGAUUCUGCCAAGCUCUAAGUCGCACCGCCUGUCCAUGGUUGAUCUGCCACCAAAAAUUUGUGUGUUGGAGGGUUCAAAUGGAAGAAUUUAAUCUUUACAAUUUUGUCCGAUCAAUGUUGAAUUGGUUUCAACCUCAAGUUUGAGUAAGUUGAUUUGAAAGAAUUUUGGGGACAAUAGCCAAUUUUAUUCAUUAAGUUAUUGUUUUUCCCCUAAUUUUCAUUACUGUUUAGUAUUGGUUCAUUGGAAACUUUAACUGUUAGUAAGGAUUGUUUGUUACCUAAUUUCUUAAGUAAGAGAUUCUACAACUAGACCUCAAAAAUAAAAUUAAGAGCUUGCAUGUGUUUUUUUCAUUA